UCCGGGUUGGACCCGGCGGUCCCGCCAGACAUCGUAACUGGCGGCGAGGGUUGCGCUCGUUGCGGGACUUAACCCAACACCUCACGGCACGAGCUGACGACAGCCGUGCAGCACCUGUGCACGCUCCCUUGCGGGUCCUCGGUGUCUCCACCCCGUACCACGUGCAUGUCAAGCCUGGGUAAGGUUCUUCGCGUUGCGUCGAAUUAAACCACACGCUCCGCUGCUUGUGCGGGCCCCCGUCAAUUCCUUUGAGUUUUAGCCUUGCGGCCGUAGUCCCCAGGCGGGGAACUUAUCGCGUUAGCUGAGCCACUCAGGGAUUUAACUCCCCCAAUACCCAGCAUCCAUAGUUUAGGGCGUGGACUAC
Molecule: unclassified non-coding RNA, 364 nt
Filed under: uncultured Chloroflexota bacterium
Lineage: Bacteria; Bacillati; Chloroflexota
Description: uncultured Chloroflexi bacterium contains 16S-23S intergenic spacer region
Source: RNAcentral